CCUACGGGAGGCUGCAGUGGGGAAUAUUGCACAAUGGGCGCAAGCCUGAUGCAGCCAUGCCGCGUGUGUGAAGAAGGCCUUCGGGUUGUAAAGCACUUUCAGCGGGGAGGAAGGCGUUAAGGUUAAUAACCUUGGCGAUUGACGUUACCCGCAGAAGAAGCACCGGCUAACUCCGUGCCAGCAGCCGCGGUAAUACGGAGGGUGCAAGCGUUAAUCGGAAUUACUGGGCGUAAAGCGCACGCAGGCGGUCUGUCAAGUCGGAUGUGAAAUCCCCGGGCUCAACCUGGGAACUGCAUUCGAAACUGGCAGGCUAGAGUCUUGUAGAGGGGGGUAGAAUUCCAGGUGUAGCGGUGAAAUGCGUAGAGAUCUGGAGGAAUACCGGUGGCGAAGGCGGCCCCCUGGACAAAGACUGACGCUCAGGUGCGAAAGCGUGGGGAGCAAACAGGAUUAGAACCCGGGUAGUC
RNAcentral lists this ribosomal RNA (464 nucleotides) under uncultured Klebsiella sp. RNAcentral describes it as "bacterial SSU rRNA". It matches the Rfam family "Bacterial small subunit ribosomal RNA", at positions 338 to 795 of the family's 1533-position model. Lineage: Bacteria; Pseudomonadati; Pseudomonadota; Gammaproteobacteria; Enterobacterales; Enterobacteriaceae. The record is from RNAcentral.